This 345-nucleotide unclassified non-coding RNA is filed under the name soil metagenome. Its description in RNAcentral is "partial contains 5.8S ribosomal RNA, internal transcribed spacer 2, and large subunit ribosomal RNA". The stretch from base 1 to 120 matches the Rfam family "5.8S ribosomal RNA", at positions 35 to 154 of the family's 154-position model. The record is from RNAcentral.
GAUGAAGAACGUAGCGAAAUGCGAUACGUAAUGUGAAUUGCAGAAUUCAGUGAAUCAUCGAGUCUUUGAACGCACAUUGCGCCCCCUGGUAUUCCGGGGGGCAUGCCUGUCCGAGCGUCAUUGCUGCCCUCAAGCACGGCUUGUGUGUUGGGCCUCCGUCCUCCUCCCGGGGGACGGGCCCGAAAGGCAGCGGCGGCACCGCGUCCGGUCCUCGAGCGUGUGGGGCUUCGUCACCCGCUCUUGUAGGCCCGGCCGGCGCUUGCCGACACAUCAAUCUUUUUUCCAGGUUGACCUCGGAUCAGGUAGGGAUACCCGCUGAACUUAAGCAUAUCAAUAAGCGGAGGA